UCCAAAGCGUAAACGCAGAAACCAUUCGAACCUCAGAAGCUAACUUCAUGAGCCAUUCGAACCUCAACAUUCUCAAACCCUCAACCCAUUCGAACCUCAGAACCCAUUCGAAAACCCUUAACCCUUUUAUUGUGUUCUUCUCUUCCCAAUCUCACCACCUGAAAACAACAGUAGUGAAUUGGUAAUAGCACUCAACAAGAUUAAGGUGUCUUUGAAACAGUUCAAUCUAUAAGGAGUGAUUUCAUAAGCCUUUAGUAAAAUUUGCAGUUUUUAUUCCAUACAUCAACUCCACCUUCUCUUCUAAUUGGGGUAUUUGUUGUUGGUUCAGAGAAAGGACUCUUAAAA
Medicago truncatula (barrel medic) is the source of this 345-nucleotide long non-coding RNA. RefSeq lists it as uncharacterized. NCBI's taxonomy places the organism in Eukaryota, Viridiplantae, Streptophyta, Magnoliopsida, Fabales, Fabaceae. The transcript is spliced from 4 exons. The record is from RefSeq and is a predicted model, not a curated record.